AUUGAACGCUGGCGGAAUGCUUUACACAUGCAAGUCGAACGGCAGCACGGGGGCAACCCUGGUGGCGAGUGGCGAACGGGUGAGUAAUACAUCGGAACGUGCCCAGUCGUGGGGGAUAACGCAGCGAAAGCUGUGCUAAUACCGCAUACGAUCUACGGAUGAAAGCGGGGGACCUGUAAGGGCCUCGCGCGAUUGGAGCGGCCGAUGGCAGAUUAGGUAGUUGGUGGGGUAAAGGCUCACCAAGCCGACGAUCUGUAGCUGGUCUGAGAGGACGACCAGCCACGCUGGGACUGAGACACGGCCCAGACUCCUACGGGAGGCAGCAGUGGGGAAUUUUGGACAAUGGGCGCAAGCCUGAUCCAGCCAUUCCGCGUGCAGGAUGAAGGCCCUCGGGUUGUAAACUGCUUUUGGACGGAACGAAAAGCCUUCUUCUAAUACAAGGGGGUCAUGACGGUACCGUCAGAAUAAGCACCGGCUAACUACGUGC
This 487-nucleotide ribosomal RNA is filed under the name uncultured bacterium. Its description in RNAcentral is "bacterial SSU rRNA". It matches the Rfam family "Bacterial small subunit ribosomal RNA", at positions 30 to 508 of the family's 1533-position model. The record is from RNAcentral.